Molecule: long non-coding RNA, 3122 nt
Filed under: Sus scrofa (pig)
Lineage: Eukaryota; Metazoa; Chordata; Mammalia; Artiodactyla; Suidae
Description: lncRNA (ENSSSCG00000062044.1)
Source: RNAcentral
CCCACAUGUCAUUAUUUGGCUCAUUUCUAUCCUUAGGGAACAAUGUAGAGUCCUCAUCCUCAUCAGCCACUUAUUGAGACUGAACAGUGUCAAUGUCAGACUGACUCUCACUUGAGUUUUCAUUAUCUGCCUCCAUGUUGGCAAAAUUUCCUUUCAUGAGGGUUGAUGUGGGGCUUUCACAUUAGGCCUAUUAGUUUUAAGUAAGGGGUGGCCAUGGCCAGUUCUAGUCUAGUUCCCUUGUGUCUCCUUUCCUCAGCAUUCCACUGGUUAUUAUUAACUUAUAACACAAUGCUGUGUAAUUAAAUCUGUACUUAGUGCUGAAAAAACAGCUAAGAAGCAAUCUGAGCCUUCUUUCAGCAUUCAUGCACUGUUAUACAAAAUCUCAGAUUUCUGUCCCUGGAUCAAGCUAGCCCCAAGGUUAUUUGGCUCUUCUGUCCCAACAUUUCUUAACAUUUAUAUUGUUGGUUCUUCAUGUUGUCACCAAGGUGGAGUUCUUCAUGUGCCAUUCUAGAAUUUGGUGUUGACCACAAUGUCCACAGAUGAAAAAUUUUCACUUUUUAUUUUUUGUCCCCCCCCCAAAUUAACUAGAUGAAUGGUGAUUUGUGUCUCUCAAGAGAAUUCCUUCCAAAGUCAGCUUGAAAUGUUAUUUAUGUCAAUUGUCUAUGUACUUUUGCCAUUUAUUUUCCAAGUAAAAAACACUUGGUAGCAGCCUCUUAAGAGAAAUAUUUUGUUGCAUACUGUUAUCUAAAGUGUAUUCACGAGCUUUUUGGAAGAACCAGGGAAGCAAACAACAAAAGUGAAUUGGAAUUGAAAAGAGUGAAACACUCAGGAAAUUUUCUUUCUUUCUUUCUUUCUUUCUUUCUUUCUUUCUUUCUUUCUUUCUUUCUUUCUUUCUUUCUUUCUUUCUUUCUUUCUUUCUUUCAGAGGCACCCAUGGAAUAUGGAAGUUGCCAGGAGAGGGCUCAAACUUGCACUUCCACAGCAACCAAAGCUAUUGCAGUCAGAUCCUUAAUUCAUUGUGCCACAACAUGAACUCCCAGGACAUUUUCAAAGUGAAUUUCUAAAUAUAUAUCAUACCGACCAUUUCCUCCCUUCCUUCCUUUCCUUUUUUUCUUUCAUUAGCUACAUUAUGAAAUCUGACUUUUACACCAGCUGUCAUGUAUGAUUGAAUGGUAACCAAAUGGAGGACAGCAUUGAAAGGGAGGACAGAAGUCUUAUUUUAGUAACAGAAAAUAUAAAUAUAGAAUUUUGAUGUAAUUUAUUUUAGAUCCCCUCCCUCUACUUUCUCCAAGGAAAUUUAAUGGCUAAUGGCUGGUAAUCAGACACAUGUAUAAAAUGCCAGAUAUUGUUUUAGGGAAAAGUUUAGAAGGGUAGUGAGUUAUGGGACAAAAAACAAACAGAAGGUGAAAUUCUGAAGACCAGAUGUUUCACUGAGUAAAAUGUGUAACGAAGAAAACUGGUUGAACAGAAGAAAUUAUUUUCCAGGCUUUUUUCAAUCUACUGAGAAAGUAUGCUAUCACUGUUUUCCCUGCCAUGUCUUUCUUGUUUCCUACUUAGAGGGAAAAUCUUAAAAUGUGCAGCAUCAAUAUUAUAAUGAUGUAAAUGAUGUAUAGUAUUUUCUGCUGGCUCAAAGAGUGGUGGCAUUUCUGGAAGGAUGAAAGCUGGGUCACACAGCCAGCGCAUGAAUUGGAGGUGACCCACAAAAGACAGUGCUGCAGUUUUCCAUAUCUAGAGGCUUUUUCUGGGUCAAAAGAAUGCACUUUGCCUUUGCCUCAGACAACUUGAGCCAGCUGGACUCUAUCCAAGAAUAUAAUGCUGACAAAUCCCAGGGAAGCAAGAAGCAGCAGCCUCUUUCUCACUGUAUACCAUGUGAUAUCAACAUUGCUCUGAAAAGUCUUUGUCCAUUUGACACAUAGUAACAACUAAACCUUGCAUUUCUGCAUUUGUUAGAUGCCAAAUAGUGGCCUUGAGUAUUGAGUCAGAAGUUUCUGCACCUACAGAUCACUUAGUGUACACUAUAAAGUACUUCUGUCUAUAAAGAUUAAAAUACCCUCUUAAUCCUUAAGGGAGACUGAAGAAAGAUUUACUGUACACCUUACGCAUAUGCUCACUUAAUGCUAAGAACAACAAUUACUUAUUUUGUAGAUCAGGAACUGAAUAUUGGAAUCAUUAAGAACCCUGGAAUGAUGCUAUUUUUACCCUUAGUUGUGAGAAGAAUAAAGUGAAAUUUACUUGUGUCCUAGGAGAUAAGAGCAUGAAUAUAGAUAAUAGCAUUAUUUUUAAUAGAGAAAAACAAACCCAGAGAGUACUCAAGUGUGAGAAGUAUAAGUAAAUUAAUUAUGGUAUACAUAUAUCCAAUGGGAUACUAUAGAGCAGAGGAUAUAAAUAAAAUACAUCUAUAUAUGUUAACAUGGAUAACCCUCAAAAACAUGAUGUUGAAAGAAAAUUUCUAAAAACAGAAAAAUGUUAUUCUAUUAUGGAAUUCAAAAUAUGAAAUAAUUUGAAUUGAAUCUCACAAAAUGAAAUAAUAUAUUAUUUAGGAACACAAAGAUAUAGUAUAUUGUAAAACUGCAAAGGAAAAUUAAAAAAAUGAUACAUCAAAAAAUUCAUCUGGAGUAAGGAGAAUAUACCCAUGAGGUUUGAUAAAGUUGUUUCUUAAAAUGUAUGGUGCAUACCUAGGAGUUAAAUUUUAUUAUUGUUUUAAACUGUAUAGACUCAUUAUGUACACCCUUCUUAUACACAAUGCAAAGAAGAACAAGAAAAUAGAUAAAAAAAAUCAAUUUAUAAUGUAAAUUCAGUGCCCUGUCCACAAUAUUACAGCAACUAUGAAUGAUAUCCAGAAUUCUGUUUACUUCCACGUAUAAGCAGAAAUAUUUGUUAAGACACUAAAGAAGCGAUAUGGAGGACUAAAUAUAAGAAACAAUAUAUAUAAAUGCAUAUAAGAAAGUUCAUCCAAGCUAUAACCAGAAAUCAUACAACCCAGUAAAAUAAGAGCUGAAAGAUGUGAUUAAAAAAUGGGCAGGAGUUCCCAUUUUAGUGAAGUGGAUAUGAAUCCGUCUAGUAACUGUGAGGAUGCAGGUUUGAUCCCUGGCCUUGCUCAGUGGGUUAAGGAUCUGGCAUUGC